This 1867-nucleotide long non-coding RNA is filed under the name Bemisia tabaci. Its description in RNAcentral is "lncRNA ENSSSA1UGG012869". The record is from RNAcentral. Lineage: Eukaryota; Metazoa; Arthropoda; Insecta; Hemiptera; Aleyrodidae.
GCAACGCCUGCGCACACAGAGAGGGGGAAAAAAAGGAAAACAGAGGGAAAAUGUCAAAAUGCGAAAAUGUUGAGGUUAUAAUACAAUCAGAAAUUAGUUUAUUUACUUUUUUGGUUUUGUUUAUUGUGCUGUGACUUUUCCACUUAGGAAUGAUUAUGUACACGGUGUCUGUAUUGGACCCGAUCUAGAGUGGAUGCCUUUUUAAGUUGUCAGAUCUUUCGAACAGAUAUCUUUGUAUUUGAACAUGGAGGCGCUGUUACCCUCUGAAGUUGCUCGAUUAGUUUAUGGAUACCUGGAAGCUGAAAAAUGCUCGGAGGCUGCUACGUUGUUCCUGCAAACAUCCCAGCAUCUAAAAGAGUGUCACGCUUUUUACUUGCAGUAUAGAAGAUUUUCCACCAGAGUCAUGGGUCUGACGCUCCUUCAAUGUCUAGACUAUCUGUGUUCUGUUUAUCGCAUCGUACAAAGCCACCUUAACACGUUAGAGAACGACUCACUGGAAAACUCAGCCUCCCAGAACAACUAAACUUCCUGUUAGACUCAAUGAGCUUCAAUGCUGGGAACAAUGAUCAGACAGCAAGAGUUUCAAAUCAGGUUGAUCCGAAAACUCCUGAAAAAGUGGCGACUUCUGCAUUCCAAAAAAUGACUCGGAAAUCCCGCACAAAAAAUGCUUCUGAUAAAUCUUCAUUCCCUGGACCAAGUGCUGCUUUUACAUCUUUCCCUUUUUCUGUUGAUGAUGAUGUGGGGCCUGUUUUGCCGGUUCCCGAGACCACAAGCCUGGAGUCUCUGCCAGGCAACAUGAGAAACCGACGUAAAUCACCACUCAAAGUGAAGGAUGAUGAUUUCUGUAGUGAUGAAGGAUCUUCCAAUCAAACUGCAGUCGAUGCCAACCGUUUCAAGAAGCCAAAUCUGCCAAACCUGACCAACCUCUUCCUCGAUAAACCUGACCUCUGUUCGAAAAUCUCGAAAAACAUCAACAAAGCAUUGAAUUUGCCAGAUAAGCCGCGAGCCAGGAGUAAAGAUAAAAGCAAAGCCGUAGGAAAGUCAGCCGGUGAGCAACUGGAUACUGCCAUCAAAUCACUCGUCAAUCAGCUUGUUGACGAGGAUUCCGUUUUCGACGAUGUCCUAUCUGAAAUCAUAGAUCAAUUACCUACACCAGCUCCGUCACCUACUUCUCCAAAAAUAUGCCAAAAGCCCAGGAAAUACCAAAGACAGGGAAAGUUCCUGAAAUUCAUCUUGCUCAUGGCGAUGUGUUGCCCACUGCCGACUUUAGAAAUGAUAGUUUGCCCCCAGGAGACUUACAACUGUCAUCGAAAAAUGCCCAAAUUGAUGAAAUCUGUCCAAGUAAUAUAUCCAGCCCACAAAAGACAGCAGCACUCACAAGGACCUGUAGCACAUCAGAAAUUGGAGAACUCCAAAAACCACCGGAAAAUAUCAUUGAAAUCCCAGAAACAAUCUCCAUCCAACCGGCAAGUGUGAUCUCCUCGCAAAUUCCUGCAAGCCACUUGCCAGGACAACUUUCAGUGGAUUGCGUAGCGCAUCCUAUUGAGUCUUCAACACCGCAGCUUUUAGAACUGACAAAUAUGAAACCAGCAGAGGUAUUUUUCUCUAUUUUUUGUAAAUUGUAUGUUAGUUGGGAUCCAGACCCAUAUUUUUUGUAUGAUCAAUGAAAAGCGUCAAUGAGGUAUGAUUAGGGGCCCUAGUGGCCCUGUAUAUCUUUACAUAACCAUAAAUAAAUAAAUACAUUUCAAAGCUAUAUACAUUCUGUAAAAAAUCAAUGAAAUAAUUCUGUCAUAUUUGAUAUGUAUAUUGCACCUUAUAAUUUGAUAUGAAUUUGAUGAUAAUUAAUUGCCAAAGGUGAUUCCUUAAA